Egretta garzetta (little egret) is the source of this 319-nucleotide long non-coding RNA. RefSeq lists it as uncharacterized. The transcript is spliced from 3 exons. NCBI's taxonomy places the organism in Eukaryota, Metazoa, Chordata, Aves, Pelecaniformes, Ardeidae. The record is from RefSeq and is a predicted model, not a curated record.
GGACACAGCCCUGGCGCUCUGGUUCCCCUCCAUGGUGCUGGCUGCCGCGAAGGCUGUGCUGUCUGGCCGGUCCUCUUUGGCGAGCCUCAUCUUCUGGGGCAUCGGGCCCUGUGCACGCAGCUACAGCAAAGAGCAGCUGGCUGAGCCAAGUACAGUGAAGGAGGGGCCACCACGUGAGAUGCAGCAGCUCCUGGCAGGGCUGGCUGAGCCUUGUGCCUGACUGGAGCGGUGGCGCUGCAGAAGUCCUGCGAUCCAGCCAGGUGAAGCUGCACCUGCGCCGUGCUCCUGCCCCAGGGGUAGGCAUGGGUAGGGUGGGCUG